CACAGCCACCUUACGUGAGUUCAACUUCUCUAACAAAACGUCUUUAUUGUGCACGUCGGACAUCGUGCUGUUCAUAUGUGAUGGGAUGCCUUCGUGCCAUUGAUAUAUAUGUGUCUCGACCAUCGUGCCGUUGAGAUGUGGUGGACGGCCAUCGUGCCGUUAGUUUUCUUGCAGGUUUUGGAAACCCCAGGUAUAGGGGAGGUGUUGCCGAAUUUUUUAUGUGUCUAGGCUUAGAUUACAAAUUUAUAACAAAUUUUUGACUUUACUAAGCCUAGAUUACAAUUUUAUGCCUUAGUAUAAGUACUAAUUUUUCUUCUCCUUUGUGCAGGUUCAAUCGGCGGGUUCGAAUGAGGUGCCUCCGUCCGGAGGGUUAGCGAAUCCACCACUUCUACAGCUUCAGCCACCGUCGAGUGGGUCGGGGUAUGGGUAUCCACCACGUGCGCCUCCGUCGCAGCAGCUGCCUCCAGGAGGGGCAAAUUGGGAUGCAUGGCAGCAGUGAACUUGUGGAUGUUGUGAAACUUUGAGAUACUUUAUGAUAUUUUGAGAUAAUGUGAUGGACAUGGUAUGGAUAUUGUGAUACACUUUGUUAAUAUAUGUGAUGGACAUGUUGGUUUUGCAAUUUGAGUUGGAUGUGUUAUAUCUGUUAAUUGUUAAUAUGUGUUUUAUCUGUGAAUAAUAGCUGGAAUCAAAACAGAAUUAAAAAAAGCUCUCUGGAGCCUUUGCCGAGAGCUAAACGUUUGCCGAGAGCCGAAACUGCACGGCUCUAUGCAAAUCCUGGACCUUAGCCGAGAGGCCAGCUCUCGGCAAAGAGUCAGUCUACCGAGAGCCAAGCUCUAAGCUCUCGGCAAAUUAACUGUUUGCCGAGAGGCGAGCUCUCGGCAAAGCCCUGUAAAAAAUGGUGGAAUCCUUCUUUCAUUUUUUUAAAAAGUCUUUGCCGAGCUGGGCUCUCGGCAAACCUCAAUAUAAAAUAAAUUUUGCAAACCAGCUCGACUGCCAUUCUUUUUCUUUUUUUUACAAAAAUUAUUUACCAAGCGGGGCUCUCGGCAAAGAAGUUCGAAAAGUUGUCAGAACUGACCGUUAACGGUCGUUUUGGCCGUUACUAGCGCUAACGUUCGCCGAGAGCUAUAGUUUGCCGAGAGGUGGACUCCAUGUGCUCGGGAACAAUUUUCCCGAGAGCGGCUCUCGGCAAACGAUCCUUUGCCGGUAGCUUGUUUGUCGGCGUUUCUUUGGCGAGAGCUGCUCUCGGCAAAAUGUUUGCCGAGUGUGUUUGCCCAUUUGCCGAGCGUUCUAAGCUCUCGGCAAAGGACUGGAAUCCGGUAGUCUAUGUAGGGCCAUGUUCAGUUGUUAGCCAUAGUUUUUGCUACUGCGAGUAGAAUACACAGGCACAUAUAUGGUGUCACAAAUAUUUUAUUAGUUUUGUGGAUUAAAUUAUGUCUAAAAUUUCCUAAAUAUCUUUUUUUAGAAUUACACAGUACAACAUAGAAGCCUAACACGCACGCACACUCACCCGUAAACUCUACCCGGCCUAUAAGCAAUUCCGAAGGACUGAGUUGACAGAUCUUGAGAUUCAUGAAGUCACCACAUGUGUCUUGCUGUUGACGGGGACAUCGCUUAAUACUGAAAAGCACAUAUAUAGCGUCAUUAAAUCCUAAAAAAAUCUAGAAAAUGCGAAACGCAUGUACUAAACACGAGCACUUUAAUUAGCUCGGGUGGACAGAUUCUACCGUAAGGAAUCCAACCAACUCAUUUAUGAUCAAUUCACAAAAUUACCUAAAUAUCUAACGAUCAAUCUCGGCUGCAUCACUUUUUGCUACAGAUGAAAAAACCUGUAGAAGCCCUGACAAAGAGGACGUAAUUAUACCGAAAUCAAAGUGAAGCGCGCGUAGUGUCUCAGCUGCUUUUAUCUCUGCAUGCUUUGGUAUUGAAGAAGCAACACAGCAUGGCAAAAGGCAUGUAGUAAUACAUGUAUACAACACAAAACGUACCCACCAGUUAUGCAAACUAAAGCUUAACAAUCUUCAGACCCGCAGUUUCCCAAAAGUACAUACUACGUACUCCUAGGUGGUAGCUACAGCAAAAAGUAAUUAAUUACUUAGCCAAUAUAAUACAAGCAACUAGUACCCAGCUAGAUGCAGGAGUAGGGAUAGUAGGGGUAUACAUGCAUGGGAUGGAGCAAAUACUACUACUAGAGAAGCUGGCCGCCGAUGAAUGCCCACCAGCGCAACCAGUCUACAGAUCAUGGCGCGCAAUCUUUCAGGCGGAGGUUUUCAUGGCGGCUGCGGGCAUGCUGCUCUUUUUCGAGCUAGUGUGCGGUUCUCUCCGGCGACGAAGCAACAACUCGUUUGUCCACCGGGGGCUAUGGGUGGCCUACACCCUCCUUCCCCUUCUCAUCACCUACACCCUCGGCCUGAUGCAGUCCGCUCAUGCCAAAGUGCUCAUGUAUCCCGUGUGGGCGCUGUCCCUGAUGAUCGCCGGAGGCGCCACCUCCAUCACCGCCCAUGACCUCGACGACAACAAGCAGUGGAAGCGAGCUCUGUUCGUCAUUCUCCAGUAUGACAUGUACUUCUGCAUAAUACUGUUUCAGCUGGUGUACCCCAACCCCAACCAGCAGAUAAGCGUCGCCCACGCAGCGACCCCCGUCCUGGACAGCAUAAAGCUUCUGCUAUGGCACCCCAUCGCCGUCCCCGUCUUGCUCCUCUUCACCACUGUCUGCAUUGCCCAUACCUUUGGAGCAAUCGCUGGCUGGAGGGCCAACUACUCCUACCCUAGCAAAAUGGUUGCCGACUACAUGAAGCGUCAUGCCGCUGCAGCGGCAGCGGCAUCCAGAUCAAGAUCACCAUCAUCGUCGUCGUCGUCAGGCCGAGGCUACUUGGAUCCUGUCAGCAUGAAGUACUUGGUCAGCUGGCCGGCCUACAAGGUAUCCCGCACUACAGCACCAAGUGGCCAUAGGAGCUCCUCCACUGUCUCCAGAAUGAUGAGAUGCCAAGCGCAAGCGGUGGCAGAAGAGGACGACGAAGGGCUCAUCACUGUGGAGAAGAUCGGGGACUGGUGCUGCAGGAACGAAGACAAGUUCAGGUCAUGGGGCGUCAGCACGUCCCGGAUCAAAGGCGCCUGCCUUGCAUAUUCCCUGUCUCACCUGCUGAUGCGCCGCUUCUUCGGGAUGGAUUGCGCGGAGGCAAGCCUUCCGGAGACGCGCCACUUCGUGCUUCGAGGGCUGCUGUCAGAGAGCAACACUGACGAGUACAUCAAGGCAUUCAGGGUGAUCGAGGUAGAGCUAGCAUUCCUGUACGACUUCUUCUACACCAAGUACGCAUUGAUCUUUGGGAUGGAAGGGUUCUUCUUUCUCAUGGUCCUAGUGAAGAUAGUAUGCGCAUCCACCAUUGGAGUACUUAUGCUCUACAGACCAUUUGCCCAAGGUUUUCCCCAGUGCUGGUACGGUGACAUUGUCAUCAGCCCUAGCCUGACUAGUGUCAACAUCACAGUCGCAAUCAUCGCAAUAUUCCUUACAGUAGAAGCACUGCAGUUCGUACUGUACAUGGGAUCGGAUUGGGCCAUGGUAUCACUCGCCUGCUGCCAUAUCACCGAAGGAAGGCCCCAUGGAUAUAUCCCACUAUCAUUUCGCAAGCUGUUUGGGUUUCUUUUCAGUAGGCAGAGGCUACCGUUAUUCGGGUAUUGGCAGAAUAAACUAGGCCAGUACUCUGUCAUACAAGGCUCCAGAUUCUUCAGCUCUAGCAACCAAUUUGCUUUCGAAUGUAGUGGCCUGACCACGUUCAUCCUUUCCAAAGCCAUUGCUUACCUGGGUCAAUGUGUGGUCAGUCUGUUUUCAAGCCAAGGUCUGCAUUUUGUCAAGUUACCUGAAAUAAUCAAGAGCCAUAUUGGAUCCACACUGAAAUCCAGUACUGACGAUGGUGGCUACCUGACUAACGGGAAAACGUCGUUGCAGCGCAACCAUGUUCUUGGGAAUUUCUCCUGGACAUUGCAGAAUGAGACUCAGACUGAGAGCAUGCUUAUUUGGCACAUUGCAACUGACUACUGCAGCAUCAUGGUGUCUGACGAGGGAAACAGCAGGCAGAUUUCUAAUUCCAGCUAUCGUCAGCACCGUGAGGUGGCAACCAAAUUGUCAUGCUACUGUGCGUACCUGAUGUCUAAUGUUCCCCAGCUGCUUCCGGGGAACUCUGUAGAUACCAAAUUUGUGUUCGACCAAGCUAUGUACCAAGCCAGAGAAGCACUGGGAACCAAGAAGCGUGAUAGAGCUGGAUUGCGGAAUGCCGCCGCCACUGUCAUCAGCAACCAAGAUGAAGGCAGUAGCAAUAGCAUCUUCACCAAAGGUCUCAAGCUUGGAGCUGAGCUUGCGAGCAUACAAGAUGAUUGCCUGCGAUGGAGAGUGGUGGCCGAGUUCUGGGUAGAAACCAUCCUCUACAUUGCACCGUCAGAGAACGCCAAGGCGCACAUGGAGUGCCUACCGCAAGGUGGGGAGUUUCUCACGCACCUCUGGGCUCUCCUCACUCACGCCGGUAUCCUCAGUCGACAGUCGCCACCGGCCGGAGCCGGAGCAAACCCAAGAGGAUGAUGCCAGGCCACUACAUCUACAUGAGAGUAUUCGCUACUGCAGUUCAUGACUGUUGCCUCGUUGUUGUACUGAUGAAGUAGUUCAGUGUUUCAGUCUGCAUCUGUGUUGUCGCUUGUGAUACUCCUGUAUUAUGCCUUGACCUUUGUAGGUUCGGUGUCUUUCUCCCCUAUAUGUUUGUUGUAGGGGGUUGUUUCUCCCUGUUUGUGUGUUGGUGGUGUUUGUGUUCUUUUCUUGCCUCCAUUACUUUGUAACUCUGGGUUACCAUUUGCCGAUUUGGGGAUAGUUCAUUCCCCUGAUGAUUGCCUAAAAAUUGUUGUAUUAUAUUGCUUCCACCAUGACAAAUGGAAGCUCAUGCUUGUGAUUUGCUAACAUAUUUAUUUUAUAUUUUUUAGAGAAAACAAGAGGGAUUGAAGGCCGAUCCCUACUGACAUAUAUUAAAGCAAAGAAAACAAAGUUACAAAAAUGCAUAGAGGCUAAGGAAGAAAUUUAAGAUACAAAGAAGAUGAGACAGAUACACAAGCUGCUCUAGCCAUAAGGAAAUGAAUGGGAGAUAAUUUUUCUUCGCGUGAAGAAUAACUAAGUGGUCUCCUUGAAUAGAAAUUUGAAGCGCUCCAAAGAGGCAGCUUCUCCUCUAAAGAUGAGAUUAUUAAUGACAGUCCGGAUGCUCCAACACAUCAAAGUAAUAUCUCCAUGAAGAAUGAGACUCUUUAACUGUGAUCUGAAACUUUCCAAAGUCUGGAUGAGAUCCAGUGAAGUUGGCACAAGCACCACGAUAUAAUUCAACAAGAUCUAGCAAACCUACAUUGCAAAAAUGGAUGUUCUACUAUUUCCUCACAAGAAUCGCCACAAAGAACACAAUCAAAGGAUUGAUGUAUAUGCUUCCAUUUAAGUAUAUUUCUUGUACUCAGCCUGUCUUGAGCCAACACAUCACGUACUCCAUGACGGCGGCAUCACACGGCACCAUGAUCCUGAGGAGAUAGGAGGACUCAUGAGUGAGCUCGAGAGCCCCUGCGCGGGCGACGGCGAGGCGGCCGGCGUCUCAACGCCCCCGCCCCCGCCUUCUUCGCCGCCCCCGCCUACUCCACCACCACCGCCUCUCCCGCCACCCCCUCCACUUCAACCUGAGCCCCAACACCCUGGUUUUCGCCGCCUUCCGCUGGAGCCGUCAGGUUCGGCGGACCUUGGUGCCUCCGACUGGGUGCCUCAACGGCGUUGCGUCAUCGUGCAGCCUGCGCCCUCCAGGUUUGAGCUUCAGAACCGUCUCCUCUCCGAGCUUCACGAUUGCAUCGUCCCCAACCUCCUGUGCCCCUCGCCGGCCCCGGCGCAGCUCUGGGUAACUCCACCUUCCCUUGACCCCCGGUUCAAUGUUUUCUUCAUCAAGAAUGCUCUCUGCCAUAUGCUUGCACCUCGUCCGAGUCGCCUCUGUGUCCAGCGUCUACUCGAUGCCGUGUUCGUGGUGACGGUCUCUAGCAAGAAGUUCUCCGACGCGUUAGUUGUCGUCGGCGAGCUGCGUGUCGCCGACGUGCGCCUGGUUUUCCACCCUUCCAUGGCUUCGGCCAUGAAAGCGGCGUCCUGUCUACCCCCGUUCUGCGCGAAUUCAAAUCGCCCCGUUCAAACGGCUGCUCGCCCUGACACUGUAAUGGCUGCCAACGGCCCGGCGUUGACAUUCAUUUCGCCCACCUCCUCUCGCCCAUCGGAUUUUCAGGGGAUUCGUCUGGGAACCAUACCACAAAAUCUUUUGAGUGUACCCGUCUGUACCCCUUCGGCUGUGCAGGGUACGAGGGGCGCCGCGCGACGUCCUGUCGCAUCUACUGCGGCAAAGGGAAGCGCCUUCACUGCCCACCAGCCACGCAGCUACCUUGAGGCCGCGCUUUCCCCCGCUGUACCGCAACCCAGGGCGACCAAACCUCCGCCUCCUCUAAACCCUGCUAAGGGCUGCUACCGCUGCCUCGCCUCUGAUCACAAGGUGGACGCCUGCCGCGACCCCAUCCGCUGUCGUCUCUGCCGCGCGUCCGGCCACAAAAGCGACCGCUGCACGAUGAGGCUUCGUGGGCUUCUCCGCGCCGCGGCCCGAAAGCUGCGUGUUCCAGCUUCUGCCCGAGCACGCUCAGCCCCCCCCCCCCCCCCGGCGCCCCUAGACGAGCCUCCGACCGACUUCGCCUUACAACCUACGGCAGACACGCCGAUCGAGCUCUCUCUCAGCGCCUCGGCUGCCUACCACCACGACAACAUGCGGCCAUCUUCUUCCUCUACGCCGGCACCAGUUCCUGACGCCGCGACAGAGGUCCCACCCUGCGUCGACAAGUUCAUCGUUGGCUCGCCCAGGCUGUUGCCGUUGUGCGCAGGGGGACCCGAGCGGUCGUCCACCCUCGCGCUUGACUCCGGCGGCGCCUCGGAGCGGGGCACCCAAAUCGUCAGCGAACCUCAAGCCUCGUCAGGGGAGGAGUACGCCAGCGGGGAAAUGGACUCCGGCUCUGACGCCUCCGGCGAUUCUUGGGAAGAGGGCCGCACACGCCACGCCGAAGCUUGGGUGUCCCCGGGACGUCCUGAGCUCUCCGAGCGCCUGCUGUUCGCCUUCAUCGAGCCGCCGGUGCCCAUGCUAAACGUAAGCUCCUUCAUCCGUGAGGCCCUCCGCUCGGUCGCACCGCUGCUGCCGGUGGACCUUCUACCUUCCUCCAUGGGCGCCAUGUUGCUUCGCUGUGAGUCCCACGAAGCUCGGAACUCCCUCCACCUGCUCGGACCUAUCCAUUGUGGAGGGUCCAUGCUGCAUCUCUACAAGCCGGAAGACACGCCCAACCGCUUCUUCCGUGUGCCCGUCUGGCUGGCGUUUGUCUUCGUCGUUGGCUUCCCCAACGAACAUUGGUACGAGGACAAAAUCAAGGACUGCUUCCGGGGGUUUGCGGAGGUGGCCGAAGUUGACCCUGAGUACCUGACCGGGGAAAACUUUGGUCCACUUCGGCUGCUCCUGGAGGUGAACGACCGCCUCGACAUCCCCCGCGAACUACGCAUCUCAAGCCGCCUUGGCGUCGGCAGGGCCGGAGCAGUUGCCACCGUUAUCCCGAUUAGAGUCUGGCCUCGUGAAUUCCAGCUCGACAGUCGGGGCAACCGAGUCACCUUCUUCGGACCUCCGGCGCCGCCGGGAACGGGGCCCGCUCUAGGGCCAAUGGGUCCCGUGAGCAGCCAACAACAGCUACGCCCACAACCUCACUACUUCAACUUGGGCUUCCCGCCGAACUCCAGCUCUAGGUACGCGGGUAACCUGCAGCGCGCCUUCGACCCUCUUCACUGCUCGGCUGUUUCAGGCACUGCGGCGUCCUCGACCCCGGCUGUCCAGGUCAUGGCCAGUGCCUUGCUGCUGGCGAGACUCAUGGCCGGCCCUCCGGACGGUGCUGCCUCGGCAAGGGAGGGCUCGCCGGUCUCAUCGGCGCCGCGCGGGCCUCAGCCGUGCGCCGACCCCGGCCAGGCUGCGGUCGCUCAAAGGCCGCUCAUCACUUACCAGAGGCGUCAACGGUUGCCCAAAGCAGCGCACGCUUCAAGCAAGGCGUGCAAGGUCCAGUCAAGGGCCUGCCGUGAGUCGCCCGUGAAAGGUCCGCGCCGUUCCAGCAAGCGCCUGGCUGCCAAGGCGACGGACCACUACAUCGACAUGACUUCACAGGCUGUUCAGUGCAAGGCGCUCUUCAACUCCCUCUCCACCUGCUCUCUCUCUCUAAAGGCGCAUGUCAAGAAGCGGAACAUCCUCUCCCGCAACCUACUGCCCCUGGGAGCGGCAGAACUGCGCAAGCUCAUCUCCGCAGCCAAGAUUGGCAACGGCGGCGACACUGGUGCAGCGGCAUCGGGCGUCACGGUGCCUGCGGUGGCUGAAUGAUCACUCCUAAACGCUUCCACCCCACUGGCGGCUUGCACCCAGGCGCCAACGGCCGCUGGCACGCUCCCAGCCGAAGUGCACCUACCUGUUCUUCUACUAUUUUGGCUUCGCAAUGGCCUUUUGUUCUAUCCAGGUGUUGUAACGUUAACGCAUGAACUCGAGCUUGUUUUCUCGCUGCUUUCACGUUGUGUCUUGGAACGUUAGAGGCUUGGGCGACUCGGACAAGUGCAAAAUUGUGCGCAAUGUGUUCUCUGAUGCUAACCCGCAUGUCAUCUGCAUUCAAGAAUCUAAGCUGUCUAACACUGACUUCUUCAAAGCCCAAACUUUCCUUCCUCAACCUUUAUCCUCCUCGUUCGUGGCCGUUCCGUCUGAUGGCUCGCGUGGAGGACUGCUCACUGCAUGGGAUCCGUCCCUCUUCACCAAAAACUCCCACUUCUCCAACUCCUACUCUUUAACAACCUCCUUCUCUUGCAAUGCCUCCAACCUCGAUUUCUCAAUCACCAACGUGUAUGGCCCUUCGGACCACACCUUCUCCCUCGCCUUCCUCCAAAACCUCAAAGAUGUCAGCAACGCGGUCUCGGGGCCUUGGAUUCUCCUGGGAGAUUUCAACCUCGUUAGAUGCGCUCAGGACAAAAGCAAUGGCCGGAUCAAUUCGGCCCUUGCCGACGCCUUCAACCAAACGCUACAACAACUCGUCGUGUCCGAGAUUCACCUUUCCGACCGACGUUUCACCUGGUCCAACAAACAGAGCUUCCCGAUCUUGGCUAAGCUGGACAGGGUCUUCACAAAUGUUGCCCUUGACCUCGCCUUCCCGAUGGCAGGUCUGACCUCCCUGCCCAGGCCAACCUCCGAUCACACCCCUUUGCUCCUCUCGCUCACCACCAACAUUCCCAAAGCGACAUCCUUCAAACUCGACAACCACCUGCUUAAAAACCAAAGCUUCCUGAGCUCCGUAACCUCGGCUUGGCAGCAGGUUGCACCCUGCAGUGAUGCCACAGGGCACCUAGUCACUUGCAUCAAGGCCACCCGGGCCGCGGCAAAGGUUUGGAAACGGCGUUACAGGGCGCCACCACAAAUCCUACAAAACUGCAAGUUUUUAAUCCAACUGUUUGACUUCUUUGAGGAAACAAGAUCUUUGUCCACCGGCGAGUUUCAGGUACGGUGUCAAGCACAAGAACGUCUGCAUGAAGAGACCAAAGCAAGGGCCGCCUACUGGCGCCAAAGAAGCAAGCAAAAAGCAAUUAAGGAAGGCGAUUCAAACACUGCCUACCACCAUGCCCAUGCAACCAACCGCAUGCGUCGUAAGUUUAUCAGGAUGAUAAAGGUGGACGAUCAAGAAAUCGCCAGCCAUGCAGGCAAAACACAGGCUCUCUCCACUUACUUCAAGUCCAUCAUCGGGGUUCAAGGAAUGGCACUUGACAUGGACCUGCAAUCUAUCUAUGUGGGUUCUGAAAGGCCAGGGAGCGACCUGAUAAGGGAGUUUUCAGAAGGCGAGCUCAAGCAUUCAGUUUGUCAGAUGAAUCAGCUCAGUGCACCGGGACCGGACGGUUUUGGACCUGCUUUUUUCAGGGUGGCAUGGCACACAGUCCGGACUCAAAUCUUGGCCUUCGCCGAAGCUUUCCACAGAGGGACAGCUGAUCUGGAGCGCAUCAAUCGCUCAUUCAUAGUACUUCUGCCAAAGAAGCCAGAUGCGGUCGAAGUAGAUGCUUUCAGACCGAUUUGCCUUCAGAACACGGCACUUAAGAUCAUCUCAAAGGCUCUUACUACUAGGCUUCAACUUGAGAUUCCGAAGCUUAUCGACAUUCAUCAGACAGGAUUUGUGAAAGGAAGAUCAAUAGCCGACACCUUCGUCUAUGCACUAGAGCUUGUUCAGACCUGCCACAAGAGGAAAAGGCCUGCAAUUGUACUCAAGCUCGACUUCGCAAAGGCUUUUGACACCGUAAACUGGGCAGGGCUGGUUUCAGUCCUUCAAGCAAGGGGCUUCCACCAGAGGUGGAUCGAUUGGAUGCUCAGUCUCCUAGCGUCCUCCAAAUCUGCCGUUAUUGUGAAUGGUUGCCCGGGUCCUUGGAUUAACUGCAAGCGAGGACUGAGGCAGGGGGACCCUCUGUCCCCAUACCUGUUUCUUCUGGUGGCUGAGACUCUACAACGUAUGAUCAAUAAAGCAGAUGAAAUCAGACAUCCAACGGAAGGCAACCUCCCCUGUGCUGUCCUUCAGUACGCCGAUGAUACCCUGAUUGUGUUCAGAGCUGAAGCCUCGGCAGCAAUCAAAUUGAAGGAAAUCCUGGAUCAGUUUGCAGCCAUGUCUGGCUUGCACAUUAACUUCAGCAAGAGCACUCUGGUACCGAUUCAUGCAGACGCCCGGUUGGUGCAACAAUGUGUUCAGGUGCUGGGCUGCAGUGAGGGCUCCUUCCCGCAGCAGUACUUGGGACUUCCGCUAUCGGCCAACAAGCUGCCUGUUUCUGCCUUCAACAUAUAUAUACAAAAAACCGACAAGUUUCUUGCAUCCUGGCAGGCUGACCUGUUAAACCCUAUGGGAAGGCUUGUCUUGGUCAAUUCGGUUCUUGACUCAAUCCUUGUCUACUUGAUGAGCUCAGCUUCCUGCGACAGCAGUGCACAGCAUGGAUAAGAAAAGGAGAGCAUUCCUCUGGUCUGGGGAUAAGGCGGGAAUCGCGACACCGGCGAACUGCCUGGUUGCCUGGACAAGUGUCUGCAGCCCCAGGGAGUGCGGCGGCCUGGGAGUCAGGGACUUGGGGGUCCAAAACAUCUGUCUUCUACUGAAACUGCUUCACAGACUGCAUUGCCCCCAAUCUUCCGCAUGGGCUGAAUGGGUGCAGCGUCGGGCUUCAAUAUCAACUCUGACCGGUGAACUGCAUGGGGAUCACUGGCAGACCUUGCGAUCCAUCAUCCCUCUAUACCAGGCGAUCACCACUGUUCAAGUCGGCGAUGGAAAAUGCACCUCGUUCUGGUACGAUGUCUGGAACGACAGUGACGAAGCUCUGGCUGAUAGGUUCCCUGCACUUCUGUCACAUUGCUCUUCCAAACAUGCCACGCUUUGGGAGAUCAAAUCCUCGGGCCUACAGUCUGCUUUGGUCCCCCGUCUCUCAACAGCAGCGGAAAAUGAGCGGCAACUGGUGCUUCAGGUCAUCGAAGAAACGGCCUUAUCUGAAACCCAUGACAAGAGGAUCUCACCUUUCAUCAGGCCUGAUAACAGCCUUGACAGCGGUGCACUCUACAAGAUGAUCAAAGCUAGAGGCCAGGGAGACAGCCCGCGGGCAACCUUCGUUUGGCAGAACCUGGCUCCGCCGAGAGUGCGACUGUUUUUGUGGCUACUAACACAACGGAGAAUUCAGUGUCGUUCGGUGUUACAAAGAAAAGGCAUUGUUGAUUCCGCAACUUGUGAGGUCUGCAGUGCUGCGGACGAAACGCCUGAACAUAUCAUCCAUGGUUGUGCUCUCGGCCGAGACGUUUGGGCGAGCUUGAACCUACAGUCCAUAGUCUCAGUGGACAUGGGCGAGCUUCACUCAUUCAAAGGUCAUCCUUCGAACUAGAUUUCAGAGCUACCUUCCUUCCUGACCUUGGUUUGCUGGAACAUCUGGAAGGCAAGGAAUGCGAAAAUCUUCAGGAACCAAGCUCAAACGGUACAUCAUGUGCUUCAGGAAUGCAUCUCCGCUUCCAUUCUGUGGAGGCACAGAUUUCCAAUGAAGAAAAGAAUCGUCUCCGACCAGUGGUGCUCCAUUCUACAAAUGGCCAGAGCAGGGCUUACCUAAUUCCGGGGCUUAUACAAAAGCAAGGAGAUGGCUGUCAUCUUCUGUUUCCUGUCUUCCUCCAACUUGUUUCCUCUGCUUCUUCGAUAGCUCUCACUAGCUCUAGUUGGUUUUACUCUAGCAACAAACGUUGCUCUGCAUCUGUAACAACACAAUCGUGCGAGCCGAUUCUGGGCUAAAAUAAUUUUAAACAGGUGGGGAACGUCUCCCCCCCGUUGACCGUUAAAAAAAAAGCCAGAAAAAGACUUUAUGUUUGUGUUGGCAGCAUGAUCUCCAGGUCCACUUAAAGACAGGGUGAACAUUACAAGUUUCCAUUAGAUGCUUGUAAGCUUUUGACGAAGAAUAAGAAUUAGAGGCCCAAAUGUAAUUCCAGAUAUCACUAUCCUCAGACUCUGGUAAACUCUGGAUAGCAGAUUCUAGCAAAAAGUAUUCUUUCAAAAAAAACUAAGGGCCAAGUAGCUUUAGAAUUCCCUCUAUUAUUACUGCCAGCCCCUUUCCAAAGACAGUUUUUCCUAUAUUUAUCUAUCUGACCUAUCACAGUGUCUUGUAAAGCAAAGGUGCACAUGAAAAAGGUUGGAAGUGCAGUGAAAACUGAAUUCGUUAUCUAGAGCCUUCCAACUAAAGAAAGAAAAAUGAAGGUCCUAACAAACCUUUUUCACAUCUUGAGAUGAGUGGUAAGUAAUCAUUGGUCCUUGUCUUGGUGGAGCCCAAAGGCAAACCAAGAUAAGUAAAAGGCAUACUUCCAGUAGAACACCCAUAGGUGAGAGCAAGAUGCUUUAGUUUCUCAGGGCUCAUGUUUAUGAUAAUCAUCAAUGACUUCUUGAAAUUAACUUUCGGUCCAGUUGAGAGAGUAAAAGAAUUCAGGAGAGCCUUCAUGACAAAAAGUUGCCUUCCACAUCCUCCAAGAAUAGUUAAUGUAUCGUCAGCUAGUGUAAGAUGGGGAAAUCUAAGGAAUACUGAAGGCGAACUCGCAAAUUGAGAAGUGCUUGUUCUUUGGCUCUAUUAAUUAUAUACUGCAGCAAGCACAAAUAGGAGGGGGGAAAGAGAAUCCACUUGUCUCACACCCUCUUGCAAUGAGAUUGUUUUCGACUUCUGCGAGUAUAUAGUCCAUCAUAUAGUGCUACUGGACCUGUUCUCGUACUCGGGUUAUGUACCUUUGUUUGCUUUCCUCUUAAUGAAAAACGGGCACCAACCCGAUAAAAAAAAGCAGGAAUAAAAUUACUACUCACGACUAAUUAAAAUUCCUGAUUUUUGCGUGACCGCACUCUCUCUUCAUUUCGAACACAAUACUCAAUACCCGCAUAGAUAAUCUACAAUAUUUAUCCUCAUGUAAUAAAUUUAUUAUUAAUUAUUCAAGGUUGUUUGUUCCCAGCCAUAAUUUGCCACAGCAAACUUCAGACAAUUAUGGCUAAAAUAUUUGGAGCCACGUUUUACCAUGCCUACGGAAAUUGUCACUUUUUUCUUUCUUUUUUUUCUCUAUGACACGUGGAUCCCACAAAAGUCUUACCAGUCAAACUAUCUAAGAUGAAGUGUGUGGCUAGCUAGAAACCAAACAUCCCCUAAAGUCUAUCAUCCCAUACUCCGGCACGACGUAGAAUGUCAGGUUAUAUAAGUAUUACAAUUUUCGUUCAUAAAAAAAAUGUAAGUAUUACAAUUUUUGUGGAUAACUUUAGUAGGUAAAAUUAAGUUAAGUUGAUUCUUUACUCUCUUGUUUCCUAAUUGUUAGGGCCAUAUGCCCUUCAUGGGUUCUCCUGUUCAUUUUGCUAACCCAUGCUCGGCUUGACAAUACUCACAACUUACACUCUAUUUGGCACUGCUCCAAUUUACUAAUGGAGCUAUCUUUUUAGCUUCAGCCUUACGACCAGCUCUGCUGAUGGAGCUGAAGUUAUUUUGAUUACCUAUUUGGUAAAACAACUCCCAUGUUAGAAAAAAAAACAAAAUAACCAUAAUAUUCUUCUCUACAUUUUUUCUCAUAUUUUCUCCUCUAUUUCCUUCCUCUCUAAUCGACUCGACCCUUCCUCUAAGCACGGCCAUCUUCUUCAUCACAAAAUGGGCAACGGCGCCCGCGAGCUCCCUGACAACCUAUGCCUACUUGUGUGCGCCACGGCGGCUACACCCGCACGUCGUGCUCCAGCAAACAACUCGUUGCUCGGAACAUACCACCAGAGAUCUGGAGCAUCAAGAAGCUGGAAAUGUUUGUUGUGGAGAUGAACAACCUCACGGGACAUCUGGUGGUUGACGGCUUUGAGGCGAUGAGCUUGAUCGUUACAGCAUCUCCAAUGGUAGGAACCCUAAACUACUUAUUGGCUACAAAACUUUUUUUGAGGGUUUUCAAAGGCUCUAUCUCUAGCAGAAUGAGAAAAAUCUCAUUCUCAGGCCUUGUUUACUUCCCCAAAUAUUUUGCAAAAUAUUCAGGAUUCUCCGUCACAUCGAAUCUUUCGGCACAUGCAUGGAGCAUUAAAUAUAGAUAAAAAAAUAACUAAUUGUAUAGUUCGUAUGUAAUUUGUGAGACGAAUAUUUUGAGUCUAGUUAGUCCAUAAUUGGACAACAAUUAUCAAAUACAAACAAAAAUACUACAGUAGCAUUUUGCAAAAAAAAAAUCAAGAAGUAAACAAGGCCUCAAUAUAUUGUUUAAUAUGUGGUGUGUACUUGUCAUUCUAACUUCCCCACUGCUUCUUUUUCUCCCUAUAAUCUGAGCGACAUUGACAUCCGCCGUCACCACGACUCCUCCGUCGCUCCUCUCCCCACUGACUUCUUUAUUUCUCCCUUCCACUCCUAUCAACGCAUCCACCCCUCCUCUUCCUAUCCCACUACUUGAAGACUCCUCCCAUCACUCAAGUUGCAGCAAAGGCCUUCUUCCCUGGCCCCAGUCAUGGCACCCGCGGCUAACUCCUCCCCUACCAGCGGCCUAUUUCUCUCCCUAGCGACGUAUGGCAUCACCACCGCAAGUGGAUCUGGUGCGGCAUGAUGCGGAGGAGCUCCUCCAUCUCCAUCGCCAGCACCGCGAGCCUACCAGCACCAACAGCGUACGACACCACCAUCGCUCCUAGACCUAGCGCGGCAGUUGGAGCUCACAUCAAAAAUCUCAGGCAUUGGCGGGAGAGAGAUUUCCCUUGUCUUUGAGGGGUUGGAAGAUGGUUUUCAAGGUACUAAGGAAAAAAAAUCUCAUUGGGAUGCGAAUGGGGAUCUACUGGAGCUCUCAAAUCCAUCAAAAUAUAGGUUUUUCUAUCUACUGGAGCUCUCAAAUCCUUCAAAAUACAGGUUUUUCUCGUUGGGGAUAGGAAUUAGUGUACUGCUGAAGAUGCUCUUAUCUCCAUCUUAAAAGAACCACCUUACUGGUACCAUCCUGGAAACCUUCGGUCACUUGAAGAACCUCGCUGACUUAUACCUUACAGCAACAACUUCAUCGGUGAGAUACCCGUGAGCAUCGAUCGGUUACCGUCAUUCAAUAACAGGCUUCCUGGUAUGCUCCCGGAAAAACUCGGCAAGUACUCACCAGUAUUUUCAGCCAUGGCUUUUCAAACCAGCGAGUCAUGACUGAAAAUACUGUUUACUGAUUUGUUAUAAAAGAAAAACAGAAAAAAUACGGCAUAUAAAACAAGCAAACAGGCUUCGCUACUCACUGCAUCAAGCAACCGCUUGAAUGGCUCCAUCCCACUGAAGCCUCGCUCGCUGUGCCUCUGAAAUAUCUAAUCCUAGACAGCAACCAGCUCUCCGGCGACAUACCAACAGAUUUGGCGAUGGCACACCAUUGCUUAAGCAACUGAAGCUGGCCAACAAAAAACUCUCCGGGAGGAUCUGUUAAGCUAAUCUGCAGAAGCUCCGUCGACGUACCAACUUCCCAGGUGACUAUGUACGCUUGAGCACAAAUAUUUUACACGAUGAUCAUCCUAAUCUCUUUUACACCUUGUAAUCUUCACUGUUACCAUAUAAAUUGCCUUUCAGAAGUCCAGAUCCCUAAAUUGGGGACGAUUUGAGAUGCGUGACGACAUGGACCUAACCUAACCUGUGCAAUAAUGUUACUACUACCCUAUAGAUGGUGAUAAACCAAAAGGAUCAAUUAAAAAAUGCUAUACUGCAGUGCAGGUCAUCAACCGACUCUUUCAAAUCAGUUCAUGCCCCAACAGUCUUUUGCUUCUUGGCGGUAUUAAUAUAGGGCCGCAGCACAAACUCGCUUUGCGCUUCAUUUUGUUCCACAGCUCCUAGUUUGAUCUGUCAGGCAAGCGCGAUAAACAUGUUAGUACCAGCAACCAGUAUUUGUGCCUCAGAAAAUGUGGUAAUGACCAGAUGCCGAGUGUUCCUGAUACCUGGUACAGCCGCAACUCAAAACGAGGACCAACCUCCUUCAACUCCAUCGAUCCGGGGCCGCCAGAUUUUUCGUAUACAUGAUGCCUUGCAUAUAACAAAACAAAAGGAGCUGUCAGUCAUAUAUGCAUAAAAGCUUCUCAGGAAGCAGAGCACAUACACAGUUACACACUAGUGCAUGACAGAAAUAUUGUACCUGAAAGAUAUGUACUCGUCUCUGUUGGCAAAAGUAAUUAUUCGCUUUGAAUCUGGCUUUGGCAUAAGAAAGAGGUGCUUGAGAAUAGUGGCAGUCCUUUCACCAACCUAGAAUACAAAUAGCAAGUUACCAAACUGUCAUGAACAAAGAUAGAAUACAAGGAUGGCUAACCUCUGCAGAAAACAAAAAAACAAGCUACUCUCCCUAGUAAAACUCUAAAGAGUGUUUAAGUUCCUACAAUCCAAUCUAAGUACUCUAGCAAUCAACCAGAGCCCAGAAUGCCUCCCGCCAACAUCAUCCAAAUUUGAGAUUUCUACAUGCUAACUCAAGCAGACAGAAAGUGAUGGUCAGAUCCAUAUUUGAGAUUUCUGCAUGCAAAAUCAAGCAAACAGAGAGCGAUGGUCAGAUGUCAAGUGUUUCAAGCUAAAUCAAGCAGUAUAUGUAAGUGGAGAUGCUCAGCUUAGAAGGUUUGAAUGGACUGAGAGUAGUCUUCACAGUAGUAACUAACUACAUCUCACGUUAAUGGUUAACAAGAAAAACAUCAUCAAAACCUGAAUUCUGCUCAUAUAUUAGGAUUCACAUGCAAUCCUAUCAAAUUCAGAACCCAACAAACCAGACCCCCACCUAACAAAAGGACAAGAAAUAAAAGGAAAAGUAAAACAUAUCAAAUACAACUGAUAGUGGAGAUUCUCUUGUUCAAAAAAAAGGUGGAAAUUCUCAGUCUUUGAAUCAUGAAUGGAUUCAAGUGUCAUCAAUGGAAAAAAUGUCUCAGGUUAACGAGAAAGACAUCACUGCACAACCCACAACACUGAAACAAGAAUGAAUAGCAAGCACAUCACAUUCACAGGUUAAUGAGACAAAUAUCAUCACAACAUAGGAGUUCUGUGGAUAUAUUAGGAUUCACAUGCAAGAUGUAACUCUGUUCAAUUUGAACAAAGAUUGACAGAACUAAACGGAGACGCCAAAAAAAAAUAGAACAAGGACAGAGAAACAUAGCAAACAAGUGACAGUGGAGGUUCUGAGCCUUGAGUUAUGAAUGGAUUUAGGUGUCUUUCAUGGAAUAAAGAUGUAUCAGGUUAACAAGAAAGUCAUCAUUGCAACGUCCCAAUAUUGUAAAAUAGGCAUGCACAUGCUGGGAUGCAGCAAGGCACAAAAGCGAAUGAAAAAGAUGGUUACAAAAGAGUGACACCCUCAACUUGUUAUAUCUUCAACAAUACCAAUGCUGCUCAGUUAUAGUUUUUGAAUGGAUAGAUGCUAUCCUCAUAGUAUGUCUCAGGUUAACGAGAAGUCCAUCAUGGCAGCCAUACAAAGCACUAAGCAAACUACAAACUGUAAUGUGAACACUUGCUUGCACUUAAACAAAGUUAACGUCAUGUUUUAUGUGACCAGGAAUGUAUUUUAGAAUGGAACUAUUGAGAAAUUAACCAAUGUACAACAUAGACAAGUCAACAAAACAACAAACUUGCUUGGAAACAGCAGCGGAAGCAGAAAAUGAAGCAAACAAAGCAGUAGCAGCAGCAGAUUAUGGAACUGGAGGUGCUCAGCAUCUUAUUAUUCAAAUCAUCAUCAUCAUAGUAGCAAUGUAUGCUUAACAAGAAGCUGUCAAUGGGAGGGAGGGAUGCAUGCAUGGAUAGAUAGAUACAUAUAUAUAUAUAUACACACACACAAACACACAAAGAGUGUGUUAGAGAGAGAGAGAGAGAGAGGAGAAUUCUUGAAAAGAUAUCAUCACAGCAGCCUCCAGUUCAUAAUGACUGCAUGGAUAUCCUCCUAAUAAUGGACAUGGAUUCCAUGCAAGUAAGCAAAAAGAUAAACAAAAACACCAUGGUAACCACUGCCACCACCACGCCUCACCAUAACCAGCCCCACAGACACUUCAUCGUAAGUAUGAAGUUGUUUACCCUGCUAUGGAAAGGCGUGACUUUUCAAGAACACAUAGUGAACAGGUCACCAUGACAACAAUGAUAAGGCAUGAAGGCAAAACGAUCCUGUCAGAACCCAACAAACCAGACCCCCACCCAACAAAAAAGACAUGAAAAUAGAAGGAAAAGCAAAACAUCAAGGCCAAGUGAAAGUGGAGAUUCUCAGUCUUUGAGAUAUGAAUGGAUUUAAGUGUCUUUCAUGGAAAGAACGUCUCAGGUUAACGAGAAAGACAUCAUUGAAAACUUCCAACAUUGUAAAAUAGCCUUGAGUUAUGAAUGGCCGAAUGGGUUAGGUGUCUUUCAUGGAAUAAAGAUGUAUCAAGUUAACAAGAAAGACAUCAUUGAAACCUUCCAACAUUGUAAAAUAGGCAUGUACAUGCUGGGAUGCAGCAAGGCACAAAAGGCAAAUUAAAAGAUGGUUACAAAAGUGUGCGACACUCUCAACUUGUUAUGUAUUCGGAUAAUAUCGAUGCUGCUCAGUUAUAGUUUUUGAAUGGAUAGAUGCUAUCCUCAUAGUAUGUCUCAGGUUAACGAGAAGUCCAUCAUGACAGCCACACAAACUGUAAGCAAACUACAAACUGUAAUGUGAACAUUUGCUUGCACUUAACAUGAUGUUUGAUGUGACCAGCACUAUAUUUUGGAAUGGGACUAUUGUUAAAUUAACCAAUCUACAACAUAGGCAAAUCAACAAAACAAGAAACUUAGCUUGGAAACAGCAUCGGAAGCAGAAAAUGUAGAAAGGAAUAACGCAAUAGCAGCAGCAGAUUAUGGAACUGGAGGUGCUCAGCAGCUUAUUAUUCAAAUGAAUAUCAUCAUCAUACUAGCAGUGUAUGCUUAACAAGUAGGUCUCAAUGGGAGAGAGGGAGGGAUAGAUUGGUAAUAUAGUGUAUAUCUAGGUGCAUAGCAAAAGCUAUGUAUCUAGAAAAGCCGAAAUGACUUAUAAUUUGGAAUGGAGGGGGUAUACAUGCGCACGCGCACGCGCACACACACAGACAGACAGACAGACAGACAGACAGACAGACAGACAGAGAGAGAGAGAGAGAGAGAGAGAGAGAGGUUCUUGGAAAGGCUAUCAUCAUGGCAGCCUCCAGUUCCUAAUGGUUGCAUGGAUUUACAUGCCAGUAAGGAAUAAACAAAUAAGAAAAAAAAACACCAUGGUAACCACUGCCACCACCACGCCCCGCCAUCACCAACCCCACACACACCAGAAUUUUCAUUGCAGGUAUGAAGUUGUUUACCUUGCUAUGAAAGUGCGUAACUUUCAAGCACACAUAGUGAACAGCUCACCAUGACAACAAAGAUAAGGUAUGAGGACAAAGCAGUUAAUUGCUUCCAUGAAACAGUGUGUGUAUGAUUUACCUGAGUUGAGAAGUUGUCAAGUACUAAAUGGGGGUAUGCUUCUGACAUUUUUCCCAUUGCCUUCCUGCCUCUAAUAUCAUGUCGUGUCACCUGACCACAACAACAAAAACUAAGGAUAUAACCGAGUCUGAGCAAUCAUUUUGUACACUUGUGCUACACAACAUCUCAGCAUAUAUAUACUUCCAAAAAGGUUAAGCACACCUACCACAUUGAGCAACCCGAAGUAUGCAGUUGGACCAUUCGGUAGAUGGGAGACGAUCAAACCAUCAGGUUGACCACGAUGUUCAUGGACCAAAAUAAGAUCUGUGAUAUUAUGUGACCGGCAUGACUCAACGAUUUCUGAUAUGACCUGCAGAUCAGUAAAAAGUGAAGAACACCUAAUUGUGCACAGCAAUAUGUUCAUUCAUUUACUACCUAUAUAAAAAUCAUGGACAACAAGUUCUAAUUUCUUGCAAGCAAUGCAUAGCAAGUACUGGAUAUGGUAUAAACAAAAGAACAAUAUCAUGGUAACUGCUGCUGCAAUAUACCUGGCCACCACGGUUCAUUCUCUGUGACAUGGGAAAGACAACCUUCAGCUCCUAGGAAGAGAACCAGAACGGGCGGUUAGCUGAAUGCAAUGCACCAUUUGGACUUACGGAAAGGAUCCAAAAGUUUCCAGGACAGCAGAAAUACCUUAACAAACUGAGUUAGCGGCGCGCUGGGAUUGCGAGACGUGGUGAAUAGUAUCUUGGGCUCCCGAACUGAGGCAGUAGCGUACUCGUUAUCGGCCAUGCUCUUAGGAACUGUAGCACCCAAUCACCGAUCCAAACAACCAAACAACGGAACAACACACGUUAGACAGAUCUCCCUACAAACAAACGUAAAAGAGCAAGGAGACUGCAUUACACUCGCUCGAGCAAAAAGAAGCCAUGGGAUGGAGGGAGGGGGUACGGGAACAACACGCACCUCGAGUCUCCUGGUCCUCGAGGUCGAUCUGCCUCCGCAGCUCGCGCACCUCGUUGCGGAGCUCGGUGGGGAUGGGCUUGCCCUCCUCGAGCGCCGCCCGGAUGCGGCGCUUCUUCUGGAACAGCGCCCGCUGGGAGGCCUCGCCGCUCUUGGAGUGCAGGUACUGCCGCCGGUCGCGCAUACGCCGCCGUAUCAUCUUCGCUUCCCACCUCCUCCACAACGCUUGCGCAGGGCCAGACUCGGCAAAACCCUAGGCGUAGGGUUCUUCUCCGGCGUAGGCGUCGGCGGCGGGGCCGGGGGCCGGCGCUCCUCGACAUAAUAGCUACCAAUGUGGGCCUAUAUGGGCUUGCACGACUGGGCCCGUUUGCUCUUUGCUAGGGCCUCGGGAGCAUCUCCAUGGCUGGAAAAAAACAGAGGAUUUUGGGUUGCAAAUUUUAUGGGCCAACAAAAAAAAACUUUUCUAGUCUCCUAUAUAUUUGGGGAAAAAAGUCUUAUUUUCCUCUCUAAGAGCAUCUCCAAGGGCUUUCCAUUCUCAGCUUUGCAUUUCAGGGGAUUUGCAAAGUUGCAAAUGAGUUUGCAAAGUUCCUAAAGGGGGGAUCUCCAACCGUUUUGCAUUCUCAUCAAGUCCUUUCCCGAAAAUUUUUCCCACGCGCCAUCCGGCCAAAAAAUUUCGCGCGCAGUGCCAGAUCGCGAUGAAGAUGUUGUGUGGCAGCGGCGAAGGGAGCUGUCGCGCGAUGAAGAAGCCGAGCGAUGAAGAAGCCGCGCGAUGAAGAAGUCGCGUGGCGGCAGCGGAGGGAGAUCGCGGGGGGGAGAUAAAUCGCGCGGGAGCCCUUUGGCGCGCCGAGUCGAGCAACCGCGAUGCCGUCCAAAAUAUUUCGCGCGAGGGGACCGAGCGGCCUACGUGGCGGACCGAAUUCCUUGCGAAUCCCAAAUGCAAAGCCUUGAGGAGGUUUGCAUAUAUGCAAAGUUUCCACCUCUAUUUGCAAACCUUACCAAAUUGCAAACCUCAUUUGCAAAGCCAUUGGAGAGGUGUUUUCUACUCUUUUUUGCAAAUUGGGCAAUGCAAAGUUGAUUUGCAAAGCCCUUGGAGAUGCUCUAAGAGCAUCUCCAAGGGAUUUUGCAAAUGAAUUUUGCAUUUGGUGUUGUUUGUAAAGUCCCAAACUCAUUUGCAAAGUGUAAAAAUAUUCCAACUCCAAGGGAUUUUGCAUUUAGACUUGGCAAACCUAAAGUGUGGACCUCACCCCCGAAUUUUUUUUUCACCGAUCGCGCCCGCGUGUUUGUUUCCUUCGCGCCAUUUUGACGUACGUCGUGCGUGCCAGUCGCCGCCCGGGCCAGGCGCCGCCAGUUGCCGCCCAGCCCAGGUCUUCGCGCCAAUCGCCGCCCCGCCCAGGCCGCGUUCGUCGUUCACGUCGGUUCGCGGACGGUGGCCACGCGCGGCAGCUGGAGGGAGGGCGGGCGCGCGCGGCAAGGAGGGCGGACGGGCGUAGAGAAAUCGCGCGGGGUGGGAGGGGGGCGGGGGGACGGAGUCCGACAUGAAAGGCCGAAAUUGUAGAUGCAAAGUGGUGGAAAGGUUUGCAUAUAUGCAAAGCCUCAACCUCUAUUUGCAAAGUUAACCAAAUUGCAAACCUUAUUUGCAAAACCAUUGGAGGGGUAUUUUCUACUCUUUUUUGCAAAUAGGGCAAUGCAAAAUUUAUUUGCAAAGCCCUUGGAGAUGCUCUAACUUUCACGAUAGUUCGUUUUUUUUCUCUCACAACUUCAAAACCGGUCACACCACCUCCUUAACUUUUUAAACCAUGUAUUUUACCUUUCUAGAGCAGUUUUAAAGGCGGUUUUGCUAUAGUAAAUAUUGGUUUUGCUACAAUGAUGUUGGUUUUGUCUUUUUUAUUAUUUAUUUCGGCUAAAUCUUUAAAAAUCAUAUAAAUCACAGGAAAAUCACAAAAUAGAUAACCUAAUUUUGUAGAUCUACACAGUGAACCUAUAAUAUGGUAUGCUUUAGUACAAAGUUUUUCUAUGAAGGUUUUAUCUUUUUCUUUUAUAUUUAUUUCAGCUAAAUUUUUAAAAAUUCAUAGUAAAUCACAGAAAAAUUAUAAAUUAAAAAAUCUAAUUUUGUUAGACUCCACAUGAACAUAUCUGCACAGUAAAUAUAUAAUAUGGUAUGCUUUAGUACAAAUUUUUUGUUAUAACUUUAUAUCAAUAUUUUUCUGUAGUUAAUUGAAAUAAUUCAAAAUUGCACCUUCUAUAAUUAUUUUGUUGUACUAAAUCAUAUCAUAUUAUAUGUUUACUAUGUAUAUCUAUCCAUGUGGAGUCCAACAAAAUUAGAUUUUCUUUUUUAUGAUUUUCUGUGAUUUACUAUGAUUUCACAUAUUCAGCAAAAAACUAUACCUAAAACAGGUAAAAUUUCCGCUAAUCUUUUGGUCUGGAUUUUUUUGGUCUGCCCACUCUAAUCAGCUAUGUCCCAUGCUCAAAAGUCUCCUCUGAUAAUGGACUUCAAUCUCCUCUCCUCUCCUUCCCAAAAUUGAAUCCAAACUGCAUACGACACGGACCUAGAACCGAACCAAACCAAAUGUGGAUUCAAAAUCGAGUCCAAAAUAAAAUCACGUACCAAAUGAAGUCCAAAACAAAUUGCAUGCCAAAUCUAUGAAAACCAUACCAAAUAAAAGACUACCAACAAAGAAAUCAUGGGAGCAUAGCGAUGCCGAGGCAAACCAUGCCAUCGUAGCCGUAGAUGGAGCUCGGGCGACCACGACCGCCGCCGCGGAUGCCCUGACGGCACGACCGCUCUUCCUCCUCCCCAGUCGCGCGUCAGGCUCUCCUCACUAGCACGGCCGCGUGACCCAUGCUCUGCCGUCUAACGCCGCCCUUCGUCCUCCUCCCCAGUGGCGCGCUGGGCCCCUCCUCGUCGGCACACCCACCCUCCACCUCCACCACACCGGAGAGCCCACGCGCCCGAAGCUCUGGCGAGCGCCCCACCCUCUACGCUGGCGCAGCCCGGAGGCUGUGCGCUUCUGCUGCGGCACCUCCGUAUCUUACCUGCAAAGCAAACGCCUUGAAACAUCUUGGAGCCAUGGGCCUCGGUUGCUGGACCUGCCUGUACGCAUGCGCCAUGGCCCGAAAACCAGAUGAUACCCUGAGCGGGCCGCCAAUGAGGCCUAAUACUAGCCCGUAGAGAGAGAAAGAGAGAAAAUAAAAGAAAGGGUAUUAUGGGUAUUUUAUGUUUUUACCUAGCAUAAUAAGGAGCUUUUUUUACCAAAUGUUUUACCAAAACAUGGUCAUCUCUAUUACUGUAGCUGCUUGUGGAGUUGAAGUAAAAAAUUGCUUCACUGGUAUAAAAUGUUUAUACCAAUUAUGUGUUAUUGGUCUUGAUCGGCUUUUUAACAAAAGAUGCAAUGUUUAUACCCUAACUAAAUUUACUGGUAUGUAGUAUGCUCAAUUGCAUUUGUUGAUUCUUUAAUGUUAUAAUAGGAAGUAGAAGUGAAAAUAUAUGCCCAUGACCCUUUGUGCGCUAUGUCAUAGAUGCAAUUGAUUACUUAAGUGGAAUAAAACAUAUUGAUGCAAAUUUAUUUACAUGCGUAUUUAUAACAUAAUGUUGAGUGCAAUAAAAUAUAAUGAUGUAAAUAAAAAAAUAUAGCUUUAAAGAUAAAACAACACAUACAUAUUAAGGCUUUGGGUGACGCCAUAUCUUUUCUCUCAUUACAAUGCACGGAUAUUUUUGCUAGUAAACAAAAAAAGAAGAAGACAAAACCUUCAUAGCAAAAACUUUAUAUUAAAGUAUGCUAUAUUAUAUGUUCACUAUAUAGAUCUACGUCCAACUAAAUAACCAAGAUGUCAUUAUUGCUUGCGUUGAAGAACUACUAGCUUGAGUAGUAGUUUUACCUUAACUCUUUUGCAGGCUACCGAUGUUGUAUGCCUCCAUUGCUAGUGCCCUCAUGUGCUCGCUUGUCCUCGGUACAAAAUACAUUGGAUAUAAAGUAACUAUAAGACAAACUAUUUUAGGUUCAAUAACUACUUUCUUAAUAGAGAAAAUUACCAACAGAUAUGAUGGUAAAUAAGUCAAAUAUAUUUCAUUCUAAAUAAGUACACUAAAAAUAUAUUUCAUGACAUGUGCACAAUUUAAUUUUGGUAUCAUAAAUAUUUGUAUUUUUAAAGUUGACUUUUUUCAUAUAGAUGUUGUUGCUUUUAUUUUGAUGUGGUGAAGGAUCUUUGACUCUGAGACUUGUCUUUGAAUACUUGAUACUCCAGUAAAUAAAUAACGAAAGGAGUAGUAAUCCAGUAAAUCUCAGGGAACGCGAUGUAUUAAAUGAGCACGCACUCUUUGACAGCUAGCAUUAUUGAUUGUAUACGAGUCCCUGAACGAGUACAAAUACUAGUCCGACGGAGAGCUUGGCAAUGCAAGCAGCUUGCCAAAACCCCUAUCACUCCUAGAAAAACUCGAAACGGCCGUUCGAGAAAUCCUUGCAGGGGGAUCGAUCGGAUCCAGAGGCCGGCCGCCGCGCCGGCGGGAGAGAUCGACGGCGACGUCGGACCGAGAUACUAGUAGAACAUAGCUGCGUGCGGUUAGCAGCCAUGCUCUUGGCCUACGUCCUCAUCUUCCUCCUCCAACUCUCCGCCUCUACCUGCUGCUAUGCCACCAGCCGGAACCAACACCUCCUCUUCGCUGGUCGCGCCACCGCCCUUUUGCCGCCGGCGGCGGCGAUCCAUCAUCACCAUCACCAUCGCCACACCGCCAAGCAGGCGGCAGAGGUACCCACAUGCAUGCACGCCGACGCCGAUUGCAUGCAGCUCGAUCAUCGUUCUAUACUUGCUCUCCUCCGAUCCCGACACGAUUUUGAUCUCGACCAGGCGCGCGCGCACGCGAUUGUUGUUGAUAUGCAGGUUCUGUCCGACUACAACGACGUGCGGCGGCAUUACCACCCUGCGAUGAUGGCGCGGUGGGGAGUAGGGGCACCGCCGCGGCCGCCGUCGACGUCGCCCAGCGUGGAGUUGUUGGCUGGAGUCGGAGGCUCGUCGUCGCCGCCGCCGCCGCCCUCGUUGUCCGCCGUGGAGCCUAACGCCGUCGAAGGCGCGCCACCGCCACCGCCGCCGCUGAUGCCGCCAGCAGGGAAGCAGGAAACCAGCGCGGCGAUGGAGCCGUCACCCUCGCUGCCACACGGCGAGGGGGCGUCGUCGUCGGACGCCUCUGAGAUGGGGCAUGAGGAGAGCCCGAGCGGCGACGACGUGGACGUGGACGCGGACUACGACGGGCCCAUGACGCACCCUCCCUCGCAUAACUAGUCCGGUUUCCGGUCUGCUCCGGCUCCGGCUCCGGCCGGCCGGCCCUUACCACAUGCAUGAUCGAAUCCAUGGCAGCAGACGAUGAUGGCGAUCAGUUUUCGGGCAGGCAUGCAUACGCGCGGAUCGGCAGAUGCAUAUACAUAUAUGCGCAUGCGUGUGUGAUCUUGCUUAUAUUAGUUAUUUGGUUGCAUUAGCUUCGCUAGUUAAGGUAUAUGAAUCUAGUUAGCAAUUAGUAUGAUCAGUAUAUGUAUAUAAAGCGCUCCGUAUAUAGCCCUCACUCUAAAAUUUUGUAUAUGGUGUUGAUUUUGGAAUAGUCAACGUCGUAUAAAAAAAAUUGGAGAGAGAAGUCAUAUAAAAGUGCAUGCUUGAGUUUCUCCAUGCAUAUGCAAUGCAGUCAUUAGCGGAGCCAGAAUUUUUUAGAGCUCGGACAGUUUUUAUUAUGUAAAAAUAUUUAGCUAGAAAAUUAUAUUGUUCUACUUUGACAGUAAGAUAUUUUCCCUUUAAACUUUGGCAGCGAGCCCGGCAGGCUGCCCGGGGUGGCCGGACGGUGGCUCCGCCACUGAAUGCAGUUGUUGGGUUGGUUUCUACUAUAUCUUUGCUCUCUUGUUGAAAGGUCUAUCAACCAUACCAGACUGAAUAUAGGAGGACCAAUCAUACUUCUAUCAAUCUAGCUCCUUAUCGUUUGUACUAAUAAAAACUAGGGCUUGGUGUUUCGAGCAUGACAGAGUUCAUUUUGUUUCUUUUUAAUGCAUUAUGUUUGUAUAUACUUGUACUUAACAAGGCAAAUUUGUGGUUGUUAAUCAUCAAUUGACUAAGUGAGAUCAUGGUUAAACUGACCUGUUGGCUCUCUUGAAACAUUCAGGAUUACUAUUCCCUCUGUUCCAAAAUGAUAAACAUGUUUUUGAUUAUAAAAAAGUCAAAUAUGAUAGGUUUUGACCAUUGAUUUCUCAUCAUACUAUAGGUUAUCAUUUACUACUAACGAAUCAAUAUCAUCACACACCCACUACAAGUCUAUUGAUACAAGUUUCUGUCCUAAAUUUGUUAUUUGAAUAGUGAUAUUCGUUAAUGUUUGUAUUAAGUUGACCUUUUGAGUACAAAACACGGUUAUCAUUCCAGGACGCACUAGUAUUCAUGAAUAAAUACUGAGUCAAAAGAUCCUGGUUUCAAUAAAAAAAAUCUUUUUUAACAUUAUGGAUUAUUCCUUCCGUCAAUUCUCAUUUUUUUAAAGUCAAACUGUUUGAACUUUAACUAAAUUUAUAUAAAAAAUACUAACAUUUAUGAUAUAAAAUAAGUUUUAUUAGUUUAGUUACAGAAUAUAUUUUUAUAAUAAAAAAUUUGUGGUACUCCCUCCGUACCUGAUUUAAUAGACGUCCUGGCCAGCAUUAAGAUUGACGUUCGCAGGGCAUGGAUGCCGUUUUGGACACGAAUGCCCCUGCGCGCGAACGUCCAUCCACGCCCAACCAGGAGUCGAACCUGCGACCAACAGCCUCGCAUCCCAGGAAGCUAACCAAUCGAGUUACGAAAACUAUCUGCCAAGAUUCCACGCGCAAACGUAUUUAAAAGGAGCAAAUCAGGAAACUAUCAUCUAAUUAAUCACUCCUUAGUUAUCACAAUCUUGUCCUAAACGUCUAUUAAAAUGGGUUUGGAGGGAGUACAACUGAACUCAAUGAAACAAUUGGUCAGGUUUGGUUGGAUCCUAGGGCUAUCUAGGGUGCUCCAACCACAGCCAGUAGUUGGAAAUACUUUGUUGAAUUAAUGAACCUGAUUACCUGAAGGUACGUACAAGCAUGUUCCAUUGAAGUGGAGAGUUAAUGUGAUUAGGUCUGAUUGGUGGAAUCAGGACUAGCGGCUACUACUCCAGUAGCUAGGGUUUUGAAAACGAGUCAUCUUGGGAACGUUGGAGCCAAUAGCUCCGGCCGGUGGCACCCCUUGACCCCUUGCUGGCGACAUAUAUGGCCGGGCCGCCCGGGCCAGCACCAGCACCAGCAUUGCAUGUGUUCCGGCCGCUGCCACAGUCAGCAGAGGUGUACGUACGUAAGACUGGCAGCUAGCAGACGAGGAGGUAGCAGCUAGCAGAAGUCGCAACUCGCAAGUUAAGGAUUUGUGCUGACUUCCAUGAAAGUGCACUUCCCCGAGAGAGAGAGAGAGCACCUACCUACCUAUGCUCAGGCCAGGUCCACCAGGUAGCAUGCAUGUUGAGGCCUUGUUUAGUUUCCAAUUUUUUUAAAAAUUCUUCAUCAUAUUAAAUCUUUGUAUGUAUACAUGAAACAUUAAAUAUAGACACAAAUAAAAACUAAUUAUACAGUUUACAUGUAAUUUGCAAGACAAAUCUUUUGAGCCUAGUUAGUUCAUAAUUAGAUAAUAAUUGUUAUAUACAAACGAAAGUGCUAUAAUAACCAAAGCCAAAAUUUUUCACGAACCGAACAAUAACUGAAUUGUUGACCUCACAACCAUGUGUAGAUAGAGGUUGUACUUGGGAAAAGAUUCAGCCCCGUUUUAGUUUGGUACAAUUUCAGCGGCUUCAAUUCUCUACUUCGGCAGAUGGGCUUUGUUUAGUUCCGAAAAGAUUUCGGAAUUCGGUACUGUAGUAUUUUUGUUUUUAUUUGAUAAAUAUUAUCCAUUCAUAACUAACUAGACUCAAAAGAUUCAUCUCGUGAUUUACACUGUGCAAUUAGUUUUUAUUUUCGUCUAUAUCUAAUGCUUCAUGCAUGUGCCCCAAAAUUCGAUGUGACGAAGAAUCUUGAAAAGUUUUUGGUUUUCGGGGUGAACUAAACAAGACCGUGGUUUGUAUCUCUCAUCAUUUUAAAAUGAACAAAGAGCCGUGCGCUAAAGCCACUAUUUAUGGCUUCACUCUCCACACACACACCGUGCCAAGAAGGUGAAGUUGUAUCAAAGGUGCCUCACGAGCUGGCUUUUAUCAUGGGACGGCCGUGGUGGCCUUACGUGUGUCGUCAAUUCAGAAUCAUCCAGAGCCUAGUUUUUCUUUUCAUAUGCUUCUCCUACAUUUACAGAAAGGCUAAACAUCAACCGGUUGUUUCUCUAGUUUUGGUCAACUGACUUUUGGAACUUUUGAUUUGGGCACGAUUUGACGCUGAGCUGAUUGUUGAUCGUCCAAUUUGAGCAUGGUUCAGAGCUGAGCUGAUUGAUGACGACUCACGUACGCGUGCCGACCAACCGUCGACGGGACAUUGCCACCGGAUGACGAGAUGGCUGGCAGUCUGCCACCGGGCGCCCUGCUAGGUGAGCAUGCACGCGUGCUCACCUUUGUUGCGCCGCUGCUCACGGUCCUCGUUGGUAAACACAGGUCUCUACUAGGUCUCCACCAGCAAUAGGGGGCCACUAGCAAGUUCUCCAGCGCUAGCGACCUCGAUCUAGGAGCCCACCUCGGUGCUUGACCAUUAGCACAGCCUCAACCCGAGAAUGCCAAUCUUGGCUUACACAUUGUCGUUGCCCUUGGGGCAGCGCCAUUGUUGGUGUGGCGUUAUUUGUGGGAGGAAGAUACAAUGACGACACGUGGUCAUGCAACGUGAGCUAUGCAUCACCAUGAAGGAAGAGAGGGCAAGAUCAGUCAGCUGCAGAUGAGCAGACAGAUCUUGUGGAGUAGUAGAGUUGAGGAAAAAUAUGAUAAGAGCAGCCAGUGGUGCUAAUCGCAAUCAUGAAAGAUGCGUCGUAGUGCUCUCGCCCAGAUAUAUGCUUCGACCUCCUCCUAGCUACCCACACUAAUGGCGCUAAUUGGGUGGUGCACUUGCCCACACUUUUACAAACCUGAACGACCAUGGAGAGGUAGUUGUUGGCAUUGUUGUUGCCGGGUCCAGGCAUCUCUAUGCCCUCAGUUCUCGCCCAACUUGUAUGUGUGACUAGGUUCAUGCAUUAGUCGCGGUAGGGCCGGCCUAGUCGGCAACGUAGAAGGCAUGGCCGGCUUCUGCGGGCACACGAGCACUUAUGCCAGCGUAUACCAUGUCGGCAAAGGAAAAAGUCUACUUUUAGGUCCCUUAACUUUCGCGAAAGUCUGAUUUUCAUCCUUGAACUCUAAAACCGGAUAAAAUACAUCCUUCAACUUUUAAACCGUGCACAUUAUAUCCUUGACCUGGUUUUGAAAGCGGUUUUAUCUUUUUCUUUUUAUUUAUGUUGGCUAAAUUUUUUUAAAAAACACAGUAAAUCACAUAAAAAUCAUAAAAUAGAAAACUCAAUUUUGUUAGACUUCAGAUCAGUAGAUCUACACAUUGAAUAUAUAAUAUAGUAUGUUCUAGUACAAAUUUUUUUAUGCAUCUUUAGAUCUAUGUUUUUCUGUAAUUAAUUAGACUAAUUAUAGCUACAUUUUCUAUGGUCUAAUUGUGAUGAAAUUUAUAUGGUGAGCUAAUUAUUCUAUGUUUGAGUUAUAGUAAAAAUUUUAUACUCAUUGAAUCAUGUAUUACUUAGUUAUAGAUUUAUUUAGGUUUAUGCUUGUUAAAUUAUAAUAAAUCUUAACUAAGUUAUACAUGAUCUAAUGAGUAUGAAUUUUUUACCAUAGUUUAAACAUAUAAUAAUUAGUCUAACAUAAAAAAUUCACCACAAUUGAACCAUACAAACUAUAGCUAUAAAUUAUUCUAAUUAAUUAUAGAAAAACAGUUCUAAAGCUACAAUAAAAAUUUUGUACUAAAGCAUACUAUAUUAUAUAUUCACUAUGUAGAUCUACUUAUCUGGAGUCCAACAAAAUUAGAUUUAUUAUUUUAUAAAUUUUAUAUGAUUUACUAUAAUUUUACAAAUAUUCAGCCAAAAUAAAUAAAAAUGAAAAAGACAAAACUGCCUUCAAAACCGCUCAUAACCAUGUCAGGGACGUAAUAUGCAUGGUUUCAAAAAUUGAGGGAUGUAUUUUACCCGGUUUGAAAGUUCAGGGAUGAAAAACAGACUUUUGCGAAAGUUGAGGGGACUUCUUCCGUCGGCAAAUGGGUCUAGCUUGGACCCAGACAUAAUGUAGUUCUAGUACACAUAAUAACUUCGACCCAUGACUUAGAGUGUUGUGCUAUUUAUUUGUGGGUGGAGCUAGAGUGUUCGUGUUUUAUUUUAUUUUAUUUUAAUUUUUUAUAAACGGGCGUUGGUUUGGUGGACCAGAGAAAGACGGGAUGAAUUGGGCCUUGUCGGCUACAUGCCUAUAUGGGCUUAGACGAUAUAUUUGGACCCACACAUUGUAGCCCAACUCAUGAUGUUUCUAUCCACAGAGCAAGCCCACAACAGACACCUUUGCCUCCGGUCAACCAGUCGAGCUUUGCCUCCGCGUUGACUGCGCACAAUAGGCAGUACCCCACCCAUCCCCACCGUCCGUCCCCCAUCCAACGUCCCACCUGCCCCCAAAUCCAUAGGCGGUUCCGCAUUGCGCUAUUGCCGUAUCCCCGCACCCAGUCCACAUACACCAACACAUCCUCCCCCACCGCCUCUACGUGUACCACCAUACACCGGCGCCCACGCGCCCGCCAGCCAAGCCAGCGCAGGAUAGCCUCCGCGGCGCACGCUACGUCUAUAAAUACACCCCUACCCCUUCCUCCCCGAGCCCUUUCCUCAGAGGCACCCUCAGGAUCCCCUUUCCCCUUCCUCCCAACUCGCGGAGGGCGGGGCGCGCGGAUCUGUCGGCCGGGGCCGAUCCAUCCAUCCAUCCAUUCGAUUCCACCGGGCGCGGCCGCCAAAAACACACUAGCUAAGCUCGACGCAGCGAGCGGUGCCGCGGGAGCGCCGGUGGCGGGGCGGCGCAGCGCGCAGCGAUUUGAAACCCUAGGUGGUGGUGGUGGUGGGCGGCGCCGCCGCCGGGUGUAGCCGAGAUGGACGCGAGGUUCCCGUACUCGCCGGCCGAGGUGGCCAAGGUCGAGCUCGUGCAGUUCGGCAUCCUCAGCCCCGACGAGAUCGUAAUACCCCUCGCACCCCCCCUCCCCUCCCUGCUUUUGUCGUUCGAGCGGGUCGAGGGUUGAGUUGAGUGGUCAGCUUAGUGUAGCUGGACAAUGGCUGUUUGCUAGUUUACCAGUACCAACUCGUUUCUGAUGUCAGGAUUCUAGUUCAGGGCAUGAUUUCGUGUAAUUCAUGCUGGGUUUGAGUGUCUUGAGCUUCACUAUCGGCUUGCCUGGUUGGUCUUGGUGAAUUCAAGCAAUUCGAGUGUAGUACAACUGUGCAGACCUUAAUUCCCUAAAAUUUAGCAUCAUUAGGAAAAAAGAAGAAGAUGUAUUGCUGCUUGAAACCUGGAACUAUGUAUAUACGCCGCUGCUGGAACUUUGGAAAGUAUUACACAUAGAGGGAAUAUAUGGUUGAGUUUGAACUUGGCCUUUCUACUUGGUACAUAAGUUUCGAGGUGAUAUGAUGAAUUAAUGUGAUGUUGUGAUCCACACAGUGCAUGAGAGAGCUUCAACCUGGUUGUGUGCUUUUACAAUUUGGGCACAUCUGUAUGUUCUUAAGUGACCUAAUCUGUUUCGUGUAGUAUGGUUCUGAUUCUGUCGAGUUCAACUUCAACUGAAACAGUUGUGUGUUCCAUACGAACAUAACGGAAAUUCCAUGUCAGUUAGUAACAAGAUGACAUUGCUCCUGAGUUUGUUUAACCGUAUAAUUUAUUGUGCUGAAUAGUAAUGCUUUCAUUAAAAGGUUAUUCUACUUUGUUUGUAUGAAACAGUGUGUGUUCCGUACGUGCAUAACGGAAAUUCCAUCUUCCAUGUCAGUUAGUAACAAGAUGACAUUGCUCCUGAGUUUGUUUAACCGGAUAAUUUAUUGUGCCGAAUAAUAAUGCUUCCAUUAAAAGGUUAUUCUGCUUUGUUUGUAUGAAACAGUUGUGUGUUCCGUACGUGCAUAACGGAAAUUCCAUAACAAGAUGAUGUUGCUCCUGAGUUUGUUUAACUGUAUAAUUAAUAAUUUAUUGCGCUGAAUAGUAACGCUUUCAUUAAAAGGUUAUUCUGCUUUGUUUCUAUGCGGUGAGUGAGGAACUGUUUCCAGGGAUAGGAACUAAUGACUAUUGAUUUCUUUUUGCUUUUGUGUAGAGACAAAUGUCGGUGGUUCAAAUAGAACAUGCAGAGACCAUGGAGAGGGGAAAACCGAAGCCUGGUGGGCUCAGUGACCCUCGAUUGGGGACUAUCGACCGGAAAAUUAAGUGCGAGACAUGCAUGGCAGGGAUGGCAGAGUGCCCAGGCCACUUUGGGCACCUUGAGCUUGCCAAGCCGAUGUUCCACAUCGGAUUCAUUAAGACUGUGCUCUCCAUCAUGCGCUGUGUUUGCUUUAACUGCUCCAAGAUCCUUGCGGAUGAGGUAUCCUUUGGCUCAGUUGUUGCUUGAUAUGUGUGUAUAUAUUGCUAUACUGGAAGGAGUUGUCAUUUUAAAUCGAGGCGUGAUAAACUGAAAAUGGAAGUGUUCUAACCAUUCAAUACCUAUGAAAAGUACAGUUGCCCCAUUUACUCUACUCAGCGUUGUUCACGUUAGCACCUUUUCUCACUAGCCAUUAACUUUUUGAGGUAUCAUUAUAGCAUGUAAACUGCGAUUAUUUUACUUUUCCUUUACCAUCCUAUGACCUAAUAUGUCUUCAUGGUUUGUUCUAACAUGUUUGAUGAAGCUUAUAAGCUUAUGUGUGUAUAUUUUGUAUUCAUUGCAUUAUUCCUAUAGUGAUGAGGACUGUGGAACUCGACCAAACACCAAGUUUUGAGUCUUUUUCAUGAGCUCUGGUUCAAGUGUUCAGAGACAUUUGACCACUUAAUUAGAUGCUUAUAAUGUUUAGCAUUUGUGUUUCCAAAGCAAAUUAACUUCACAUUUAAUCACCAUUUAUCCAUUUUUUUAUCUUGCAGGAUGAAACCAAAUUUAAGCAGGCUCUAAAAAUCAGGAAUCCAAAGAAUAGAUUGAAGAGAAUAUAUGAUGCUUGCAAGAGCAAAAAAGUCUGUGCAGGUGGCGAUGACCUUGAUGUUCAGGAGCAGGAUACUGACGAGCCUGUUAAGAAAAGAGGUGGCUGUGGUGCUCAGCAGCCAAAUAUUACAGUAGAUGGUAUGAAGAUGGUCGCAGAGUUUAAAGCUCCAAAGAAGAAAAGUGAUGAUCAGGAUCAACUCCCUGAGCCAGUGGAACGCAAGCAAAUCCUUUCAGCUGAGAGGGUAUUUCUAUAAUCACUAUUCAGCUUAUGCUACUGCUUGUAAUUGGUUUCUUACAUGGCUUGUUUGACCAGGUCCUUAAUGUUCUAAAGCGUAUAAGCGAUGAGGACUGUCUUCUGUUGGGCCUGAAUCCCAAAUAUGCCCGUCCUGAUUGGAUGAUACUUCAAGUUCUUCCAGUCCCUCCACCCCCUGUUAGACCAUCUGUCAUGAUGGACACUUCUUCCAGAAGUGAGGUAAGUCUAAUACCAAUAUACUCCCUCCGUUCCAAAAUAAACUGCUUUGUAGAAAUUUUCAGAUAGAUUAAGAAUGCUGGCAAAAGACACGUAUAUCCUCACCUCCUUUCCUUUCCUUUCCCAUAGGAUAUCUCCUGACUUUGGUAGUUAUCAUUUGCAUGCACCCAUGAUUAAUUUCUGCAUUAGGAGUCAAUGUCCCAUGUUUUUGUAGAAUGCUAUUUUUUGGGACAAAUUUUAAACCUCAAAAAGUCAUUUAUUUUGGGACAGAGGGGAGUAGAAUUAUUUUGUGUCUAAUUUUGCAUGGAUGGAGAAGUGCAACCUUGUUGCUCACUGAUACUUUUAAUAAAUAUGUUUAAGGGGCUACUACUUCAGUCCCUGUUGUAAAGAAGGUAUUUAUUUCACAGCUCCUCACUGUGAUUCUUCAUUGCCUUUUUGCUGUUUCUGCAGGAUGAUUUGACUCAUCAGUUAGCUAUGAUAAUACGGCAUAAUGAGAACUUGAGGAGGCAAGAGAGAAAUGGUGCUCCAGCUCACAUUAUAACAGAGUUUGCUCAGUUGUUGCAAUUUCAUAUUGCAACAUACUUUGAUAAUGAACUUCCUGGCCAACCCAGGGUGAGUGGUUUAGAAUGUUACUUUGCAUGUAUAAAACCUAUGGAUAUCAGGAUAAUUUUGAUUGAUCGUUUUUUUCUAUGCUCAGGCCACGCAGCGUUCUGGAAGGCCUAUUAAAUCAAUUUGCAGCAGGCUGAAAGCUAAAGAAGGCCGAAUUAGAGGAAACUUGAUGGGCAAGCGUGUUGAUUUCUCGGCACGUACUGUUAUUACACCAGAUCCAAACAUAAACAUUGAUGAGUUGGGAGUACCAUGGAGCAUUGCUUUGAACCUGACAUAUCCUGAAACUGUCACUCCAUAUAAUAUUGAGAGGUGAUUCAGUUUGUUUUUAUUGACAACUGUUAUUUAAUUACUGUGCUUUUGCUGAUCAUUUGCAGCUAAAUCCAAUGAUUUCAGGUUGAAGGAACUUGUUGAAUAUGGGCCUCACCCUCCCCCAGGGAAGACCGGUGCAAAGUACAUUAUCAGGGAAGAUGGUCAGAGGCUUGAUCUUCGAUAUGUGAAGAAAAGCAGCGAUCAGCAUCUGGAGCUUGGUUACAAGGUAUCAACCUCCCUAUGACUGUAGAAGCUCAUUUGCAGCUAAAAUUGUUUUAUGUUUUGACUCAUUUUGUGCCGGAUUUCCUCAGGUGGAAAGACAUCUCAAUGAUGGGGAUUUUGUUCUUUUCAAUCGGCAACCAAGUCUUCAUAAAAUGUCUAUCAUGGGGCAUCGCAUCAAAAUUAUGCCCUACUCAACUUUCCGGUUGAACUUGUCUGUCACUUCACCAUACAAUGCUGACUUUGAUGGUGAUGAGAUGAAUAUGCAUGUGCCCCAGUCAUUUGAGACCAGGGCAGAAGUUCUGGAGUUAAUGAUGGUGCCAAAAUGCAUUGUCUCUCCACAAUCAAAUAGGCCUGUCAUGGGUAUUGUCCAAGACACACUGCUUGGUUGUCGCAAAAUUACUAAAAGGGACACUCUAAUUGAAAAGGUGAAUAAAAAUAAAUUUCACUUGUCCUUUCCAAUUGUAUUCUGUUCAGUUUUGUGGCUCAUUUAAAUUUCAUUCCAGGAUGUAUUUAUGAACAUCUUGAUGUGGUGGCAAGACUUUGAUGGAAAGAUUCCUGCACCUGCCAUUUUGAAACCUAGGCCUAUUUGGACUGGGAAACAAGUUUUUAACUUAAUUAUCCCCAAGCAAAUAAAUUUAAUACGGUUUUCAGCAUGGCAUUCGGAAGAAGAAAAGGGAUUUAUUACUCCUGGUGAUACUAUGGUCAGGAUAGAGAAGGGAGAGCUUCUGUCUGGUACACUUUGCAAGAAGAGUCUUGGAACAGGCACUGGAAGUCUUAUCCAUAUCAUUUGGUAAUUAUGCCUAAUCUGAAUUUUACUUGUUGAAAGUUGCAUGACAAUGAGAAAUAUUGCCUGUUUCCAUUUUUCUAAGCAAAUCCUGUUUUGACUUUGUUCUUUUCAGGGAAGAGGUUGGUCCUGAUGCUGCCCGGAAGUUCUUAGGACAUACACAGUGGCUUGUAAACUACUGGCUUCUUCAAAAUGGUUUCAGUAUUGGAAUUGGGGAUACCAUUGCAGAUGCUUCCACCAUGCAAACGAUUAAUGACACAAUUUGUAAAGCAAAGGAUGAGGUGAAGGAGCUUAUUAAAAAAGCACAUGAGAAGCAGUUGGAAGCUGAGCCAGGACGCACCAUGAUGGAGUCAUUUGAAAACAGAGUGAACCAGGUACCGAUUGCUUCUGUUUUGCUUUCAUUAUUAUAUACUCCCUCCAACCCAAAUUUUAAGUCAUUCCAAGAAUCUUGGAGAGUCAAAGCAUCUCAAGUUUGACCAAAAUUAUAGAAAAAAUUACAAAGUUUUGAGGCAUCAAAUAGAUAUACUAUAAAAAUAUAAUUAAUGAAGAACCUAAUGAUACUCAGUUGAUAUCAUAAAUGUUAUUAUCCUACUAUAUAAAUUUGGUCAAACUUGAGGUGCUUUGAUUCUUCAAGAUUCUUGGAAUGACUUAUAAUUUGGGAUGGAGGGAGUAUCCUUUGUUUAUGUCAUUCAGGGCAAUAUUCAGCGUUUAGGUCGAGUUGUUUUAACCUCAAUACAAUCCCUUUCUGUUCAGGUUCUUAACAAAGCUCGUGAUGAUGCUGGGAGCAGUGCUCAGAAGAGCUUGUCUGAAAGCAACAAUUUGAAGGCUAUGGUCACUGCAGGCUCAAAAGGAAGUUUCAUUAACAUUUCACAAAUGACUGCUUGUGUGGGACAGCAGAAUGUUGAGGGCAAGCGGAUCCCUUUUGGUUUCAUUGAUCGGACGUUGCCACAUUUCACAAAAGAUGAUUAUGGUCCUGAAAGUCGUGGAUUUGUGGAAAAUUCUUACCUCCGAGGUCUGACACCACAAGAAUUUUUCUUUCACGCUAUGGGUGGUAGAGAAGGUCUUAUAGAUACUGCUGUGAAGACCUCUGAGACAGGGUAUAUCCAGAGGAGACUUGUGAAAGCUAUGGAGGACAUCAUGGUUAAAUACGAUGGUACUGUAAGAAAUUCUCUGGGAGAUGUCAUUCAGUUCUUGUAUGGGGAAGAUGGCAUGGAUGCUGUUUGGAUUGAAUCUCAAAAAUUGGACUCAUUGAAGAUGAAGAAGCCUGAGUUUGAUAAUUUGUUCCGUUAUGAGCUGGAUGACGAGAACUGGAGACCUAACUACAUGCUACCAGAACAUGUUGACGAUUUGAAGACCAUACGUGAAUUUAGAAAUGUGUUUGAGGCAGAGGUUCAAAAGCUAGAAGCUGAUCGGUACCAGCUUGGGACUGAGAUUGCCACAACUGGUGACAAUUCAUGGCCUAUGCCUGUGAAUCUCAAGCGGCUCAUCUGGAAUGCUCAGAAGACAUUCAGGAUUGAUUUUAGAAGACCUUCUGACAUGCACCCUAUGGAAAUUGUAGAAGCGGUAGAUAAACUGCAAGAAAGACUUAAGGUUGUACCUGGUGAUGAUCCCAUGAGCAUUGAGGCUCAGAAGAAUGCAACCUUGUUCUUUAAUAUCCUGCUUCGUAGCACGUUUGCUAGCAAGAGGGUCUUGAAGGAAUACAGGCUUACAAAGGAAGCUUUUGAAUGGGUUAUCGGUGAGAUUGAAUCGAGGUUUCUUCAGUCUUUGGUGGCCCCUGGUGAGAUGAUUGGAUGUGUGGCUGCACAAUCAAUUGGAGAACCAGCAACACAGAUGACCCUAAAUACCUUCCAUUAUGCUGGUGUCAGUGCCAAGAAUGUCACCCUUGGAGUUCCCAGGUUGAGGGAGAUCAUUAAUGUUGCCAAGAAGAUAAAGACUCCAUCUUUGUCUGUUUACCUGAAGCCUGAGGUGAACCAGAAGAAAGAAUUGGCUAAGAAUGUCCAGUGUGCUUUGGAGUACACCACACUGCGUAGUGUUACCCACGCCACAGAGAUAUGGUAUGAUCCUGAUCCGCUAGGAACCAUCAUCGAAGAGGAUGCAGAGUUUGUUCAGUCCUAUUACGAAAUGCCUGAUGAGGAUAUUGACCCGGAUAAAAUUUCUCCUUGGCUGCUGCGUAUUGAGCUUAAUCGUGAGAUGAUGGUUGAUAAGAAGUUGAGCAUGGCUGAUAUUGCCGACAAGAUUAACCGUGAGUUUGAUGAUGACUUAUCAUGCAUUUUCAAUGAUGAUAAUGCGGAUAAGCUCAUCCUCCGUAUCCGCAUCACAAAUGAUGAAGCUCCAAAAGGAGAAAUACAAGAUGAGUCUGCUGAGGAUGAUGUCUUCCUAAAAAAGAUAGAGGGUAAUAUGUUGACAGAGAUGGCGCUUCGAGGCAUUCCAGAUAUCAACAAAGUGUUCAUCAAAGAAGGGAAGGUCAAUACUUUUUAUCAAGACGAAGGUUUCAAAGCAGCCAAUGAAUGGAUGCUCGAUACAGAAGGUGUGAAUCUCUUAGCUGUCAUGUGUCAUGAGGAUGUUGAUGCUACAAGGACAACAAGUAACCAUCUGAUUGAAGUGAUUGAGGUACUUGGAAUUGAGGCUGUCCGUCGAUCUCUCUUGGAUGAGCUUCGGGUGGUGAUAUCUUUCGAUGGAUCCUAUGUGAACUACAGGCAUCUGGCCAUUCUUUGUGAUACAAUGACAUACAGAGGUCACCUAAUGGCGAUUACAAGGCAUGGUAUCAACCGCAAUGACACUGGGCCUCUUAUGAGAUGUUCCUUUGAAGAGACUGUUGACAUCUUACUUGAUGCUGCUGUAUAUGCUGAAUCUGACCACCUGAGAGGUGUCACUGAAAACAUAAUGCUUGGUCAGCUUGCUCCUAUUGGUACUGGAGGCUGUGCGCUAUAUCUGAAUGACCAGAUGUUGCAGCAGGCAAUUGAACUUCAACUUCCAAGCUAUGUGGAAGGCCUGGACUUCGGCAUGACACCAGCACGAUCACCCAUCUCUGGGACACCUUACCAUGAAGGAAUGAUGUCCCCAAGUUAUCUGCUGAGUCCAAACAUCAGGGCUUCCCCCAUUAAUACAGAUGCUUCGUUCUCACCAUAUGUUGGGCACAUGGCAUUCUCACCAUUCCCUUCACCAGGUGGUUACUCUCCAUCGUCAGGGGGAUACAGUCCAUCUUCUCCUGUUUUCACCCCAGAGAAAGGAUAUAGCCCUCUUUCUCCAUCAUACAGCCCUGCAUCGCCAAGCUAUAGUCCCACCUCACCAUCAUAUACACCUGGCUCUCCCACCUACAGUCCCACAAGCCCGAAUUACUCCCCAACAAGUCCGACUUACUCGCCUACCAGUCCAUCAUACUCACCCACAUCUCCGAGUUACAGCCCAACAUCUCCUAGCUACAGUCCUACAUCACCAAGCUACAGCCCUACAUCUCCUAGUUAUAGUCCUACAUCACCAAGUUACAGCCCCACCUCACCAGUUUAUAGCCCUACAUCUCCAGCAUACAGCCCUACAUCUCCCGCAUAUAGCCCCACAUCACCAUCUUACAGUCCAACUUCGCCAUCUUAUAGCCCUACAUCACCAUCAUACAGCCCAACAUCCCCCUCAUACAGCCCUACCUCCCCCUCAUACAGCCCUACCUCCCCCUCAUACAGCCCUACCUCCCCCUCGUACAGCCCAACAUCACCUGCAUACAGCCCUACUUCGCCAGGAUACAGCCCAACAUCACCGAGCUACAGUCCUACUUCUCCGAGCUACAGUCCUACUUCUCCGAGCUACAAUCCUUCAUCAGCCAAGUACAGCCCUUCGCAUGCAUA
RNAcentral lists this long non-coding RNA (40267 nucleotides) under Sorghum bicolor (sorghum). Its description in RNAcentral is "long non-coding RNA (SBIC_LNC011641)". The record is from RNAcentral. Lineage: Eukaryota; Viridiplantae; Streptophyta; Magnoliopsida; Poales; Poaceae.